Gallus gallus (chicken) is the source of this 622-nucleotide long non-coding RNA. Lineage: Eukaryota; Metazoa; Chordata; Aves; Galliformes; Phasianidae. The record is from Ensembl.
CUUCAGAUGGUUCAGAUGGCAAGUUCAAAACAUUGAGGAACUUCUUCUGCAAGGUCCUGAGUAAAAGGCAAGGUUCAGUCUCCAGCCUGGCUACACAUGGCCCUGCUUCCAGCUGACUAGGCUGUGGAGAACUGCAAAAGCAAGAGAAACUUCCUCUCACCUUCCAAGGCUCCAGAGAGCUCAGAGCUUCAUAGAUGAGAUGUUGCUAGGAUGUCUGAGGGAAAAUCUGAGUCAUCGUAAGAGGGAAGAGAUGAAUAAUGUCCACCUUGAACUCUAGACACAGAUGAGAGCUUUCCAACCUGAUGUUGAGUGAAAAAGUCUGUUCCCUUCCUAGAAAAGAAAAAUGAGAGUUUGGGAGAAAAAGUGAAGAAGGAGGAGACAAAAGCUGUCCCCAAGCCGUCUAACUUCUUACUGAACAGUUAUAUCUUCCGGCAUCUUUCAGAGCAACUGGAGUUGCAGUGUCAGAACAUUGCACUAGUAAAUCCUCAGCUUGAUCCAGCAUAGCAUCCCUCUUGCAUUAGAAGCAUGCUGCAGGGCAGGCAGAUUCAUAUGGAUGUUGGUAAUGGUUAGCAACAUUUUGCUCUGUACAUACUUUGCUGCAGGGUCUUGAAUGAGAGCCACA